CAGGUAAGUUGAAGAAUCUAGGCCUUAUUAUGUAUAUUUUCUCAUGCUUUUCUGCUCGUGUAUCAUAAAUAGCACCAUCUUUAAACAUGAAAGAUAACAGACUGAGUCUGAAGUGUAUUUGUACAUUAAGAUCUCUCUAUUAAUAGUCAUUAGAAAUGAAAAUCAUGUCUAUCAUUUCUUCUCUUUUCCUUACCUCUUUUAUUUCCUUUUGCUAUCCAAAUAUCUUAUUAUGUGCACCACAGUGUAUAUUUGGAAAUUAAAUGAGAAUCAUUAUAAUCAUUGUGAUUGAGAAUAUGAAGAAA
RNAcentral lists this long non-coding RNA (302 nucleotides) under Bos taurus (domestic cattle). RNAcentral describes it as "long non-coding RNA NONBTAT006375". The record is from RNAcentral. Lineage: Eukaryota; Metazoa; Chordata; Mammalia; Artiodactyla; Bovidae.